RNAcentral lists this long non-coding RNA (436 nucleotides) under Ananas comosus (pineapple). RNAcentral's name for it is "long non-coding RNA (ACOM_LNC031438)". The record is from RNAcentral. Lineage: Eukaryota; Viridiplantae; Streptophyta; Magnoliopsida; Poales; Bromeliaceae.
AUGGAUGGAUUGGGAAGUGAGAACUACUAUCCCUCCUUAUCAAAAUGAAGGUCCAUCAUCUAGUGUUCAUAAAUGGACGGAUUGGGAAGUAAGAACUACUAUCCCUCUUUAUCAAAAUGAAGGUCCAUCAUCUAGUGUUCGUGAAUGGACUAAUCGGGAAGUGACUACAACUGAUAAUGAGGACGUAAUUGGAAGUGAUGAGGAGUAUGUUAUUAAAACUGAUGAAGAGGAUCAAGGGCGAAUUGAUGCUGAUUCUAAUGAUGACGAGGAAUCCUUUGUUCCGUGUUCUUUGGAUCCUGAUAAUGACGGUGGCUUGAAUGCACUUGUAGUGUUCCAGAGGUUUAGAUAGGAUUGGCUUCAGUGUUAGUGACUGGUCGACACAUCUGGAGAGUGUCGGACUGAGUCGGAGUCGUUUCUGCGCAAAAUGGAUGCAUAA